AUUGAACGCUGGCGGCAGGCCUAACACAUGCAAGUCGAACGAGCGGCGGACGGGUGAGUAAUGUAUGGGGAACUGCCUGAUAGAGGGGGAUAACUACUGGAAACGGUAGCUAAUACCGCAUACUAUCGGAUGAACCCAGAUGGGAUUAGCUAGUAGGUGGGGUAACGGCUCACCUAGGCGACGAUCACUAGCUGGUAGGAGAGGAUGAACAGCCAAACUGGAACGGCGAGAAGGCCCAGACUCCUACGGGAGGCAGCAGUGGGGAAUAUUGGACAAUGGGCGCAAGCCUGAUGCAGCCAUGCCGCGUGUAUGAAGAAGGCCUUCGGGUUGUAAAGUACUUUCAGCGGGGAGGCGUUACCCGCAGAAGAAGCACCGGCUAACUCCGUGCCAGCAGCCGCGGUAAUAC
RNAcentral lists this ribosomal RNA (406 nucleotides) under uncultured bacterium. Its description in RNAcentral is "partial 16S ribosomal RNA". It matches the Rfam family "Bacterial small subunit ribosomal RNA", at positions 29 to 526 of the family's 1533-position model. The record is from RNAcentral.